Long non-coding RNA from Pyrus x bretschneideri (Chinese white pear), 553 nucleotides. RefSeq lists it as uncharacterized. The record is from RefSeq and is a predicted model, not a curated record. The transcript is spliced from 2 exons. Lineage: Eukaryota; Viridiplantae; Streptophyta; Magnoliopsida; Rosales; Rosaceae.
UACCCCUCGCUUUAUCCUCGCUCUUCCUUUGUGUGGGUUGCUUCGUGCAGUGGAAAGACGAUUUGCCCAUUCUUUCCAUGCGUCCGUCAUCGUUCUUAAGGAAGAGUUGCCCGGCUUGCCCACGCGUCCAUCAUCGCUGGACCUGCUUUCGGCUUCUUCUGUGCUUUUCGCCUUUCUCUCUCACCAUUCUCAGCUUUUGCUGUUAUGAACCCUGGCUUUCUUUGUCUCGAAAACGCCGGUUUGUCUCGCUCAUCAUCCUUGCCGUCUCUCUCACAAAUUAUCAACAACGAUGGUCUCUUGCCGGAAAAAGCAGUCUGCAGCUAGAACUUUUUUCGAUUUUUCAUUCGAAUCGAUUCCAUUUCUUACCCAAAAAAGUUAGCGUUUACUGGCUCGGAUCCUCCUCUUCUUCUUCAUCCAAACCAGUAGCCCCACCUUCGAUUAUUACCGACGGAAACAUGACAUAUUAAGGCGGAACAACAAAACUGUAACACUUAUAAGAAAGAGCUCCAAACCCGCGAAGAAAUCUAAUAUCUAACUGCAUGGUUCUCUCUUA